Molecule: ribosomal RNA, 484 nt
Filed under: uncultured bacterium
Lineage: Bacteria
Description: partial 16S ribosomal RNA
Rfam family: Bacterial small subunit ribosomal RNA
Source: RNAcentral
AUUGAACGCUGGCGGCAGGCCUAACACAUGCAAGUCGAGCGGAUGAAGGGAGCUUGCUCCUGGAUUCAGCGGCGGACGGGUGAGUAAUGCCUAGGAAUCUGCCUGGUAGUGGGGGAUAACGUCCGGAAACGGGCGCUAAUACCGCAUACGUCCUGAGGGAGAAAGUGGGGGAUCUUCGGACCUCACGCUAUCAGAUGAGCCUAGGUCGGAUUAGCUAGUUGGCGGGGUAAAGGCCUACCAAGGCGACGAUCCGUAACUGGUCUAAGAGGAUGAUCAGUCACACUGGAACUGAGACACGGUCCAGACUCCUACGGGAGGCAGCAGUGGGGAAUAUUGGACAAUGGGCGAAAGCCUGAUCCAGCCAUGCCGCGUGUGUGAAGAAGGUCUUCGGAUUGUAAAGCACUUUAAGUUGGGAGGAAGGGCAGUAAGUUAAUACCUUGCUGUUUUGACGUUACCAACAGAAUAAGCACCGGCUAACUUCGUG